CUUUUCAAAAAUUGUUGGAGAUGGUAACCCUGCAAUUACCAAAGCUAAAAAAGUGUAGCCAAAUUUGAAAUACCACUGUCAUAAAUGGCCGAAAUAUCCCAAGCGAAGAGGGAGACGAAACUAAAUUUAAGCCAACAUCUUCAUUUUGUUUAUUUUUGUUGUUUUGCUUAAUGUCAUUUUUAUAUAAAUAGGCCCUUCUGGUCAUUGUUUAUUCCCUUUUUUGUUAGAACCCAAAAAUAAAGAAUAAACAACUAAACUCACUAUUUGUAAACAAACAAACCAAAUAAACGCCGCUUUUUAUUUUGCCGAAAUCCUGCCAGUCUUGUCAUUUGGGAGCCAGCCGAGUUUAGGUUUAUUCCUGGAAAAUAACAAAAAAGGACAACUUUAUUCUUUGUUUAUUUGUUUUAUGCCAAUUUAAUUUCUGUCGUCAAUUGUCUUGUUGAAUUUGUGUUUAUUGUUGCUGUUUAUUAAAACGGACGGACAUUUUAUAAAAACAGCUGUCACCACUUUAAGUCACAAAAAAAAAAAAAAAAAAAUUCUUACCUGUAUUCAAGAAAUUCUGCCGGUUUUAUGCCACAAAAUUAAGAUCUAACCAGAAGAACCAGUGGACGCAGCACUCAAGGAAUUCCGCCAGCCCGAUAUAACCCUGACACUUACGAUAUGUCUGUCGUUCGCUCACCAACAGGAGAUACGCCUACCAGCAGCCACCAAAAACAGCAACAAAUGCCAGCUGCAGACGCAGCAGUCAAUACACCGCCCGCCAAUACUUCUAAAUCUUCUUCUUCUCAGUUACAGCUCCAAAAACCGCCUUCAAAUACACCAGCCAAAACACCAAAUCGUGCAAAUGAAUUAGCCGAGAUGAGAAAACUUAUGAAAUUUGAAAUGGAACAGAUGCAACGUCAGAUGAAAGCAAUGCAAGACGAAUUUUUAGCAGCACAAGCAAAAAUGCAAGCACAACUAUUAAAUACGUCACAGCAGUUUGCUUCUUUGCAAAACACAAUGUCGCAGCAAGCAUUGCCUACACUGACGUCACAACCACCAAUUUUCUCAAACCAAACGACACAACAACCGCCAUUGAAUACGCCGCAACAGCCACAAAGGAAUCUGCCACCACAGCCGCCAUUGAAUCUGCCACCACAGCCGCCAUUGAGUCUGCCGCCACAGCCGCCAUUGAAUCUGCCAUUACAUUCAGUAGUUUUGCCACCACAAACAGUACCGCCAACAACAAGUCAACAGUUGCAGACUCAAGUGCAUCAACUGCCGCCAUUGUCUAUCAACACAGAUGAGUCUUUUCCAAAUUCACUUUCAAAUAACUCCAACGGAAAUGCACAUAAAAAAAUUUAUCCCUUGCCUUUUUUUCAGGUCUUCCAGAGGAGUGGCAGGCAUUUUUCGAAGAAUACGAGAGCACCACAACCGAAUUUGGUUACUCCAAUCUCCAUAACAUCAUGCGUUUGAGAGACGCAUUGAAGGGCCGAGCAAGGGAAACAGUGGAAUCCAUGUUGGGGAGUUCUGCCAACGUCAGCGCCAUUUUGGAAAUUCUGCAGGAAACAUUUGGUCGACCAGAGCAACUUAUCCGAAGCCAAGUAGAAAAAGUCCGAGCCAUUCCACCGCUGGCAGAUGAUAAUUUGGAUGCACUUGUCAACUUUGCCAACAAACUCUCCAAUAUGGCCACUUUCCUAAAAAACGCCAAGGGUGAACACCAUCUAUCCAAUCCAUCGUUGCUGAGUGAGCUAGUGUCCAAACUGCCGAUAAACCGCCAAAUGCAAUGGGCCAAAAAAUGUCUGCAACUCCAGCACCCCGCCACUAUAGUUGAUUUCAGCGAUUGGUUGGGAAUAUUACGCCGUCUCGCACAUAUGGUCCACGACACACAGCCAAUUUCAGCAACCUCGUCCAAUCGCCGACACACACAAACACAACAAAAAAAAUACGCAUAUGUCGCUGUCAGUUCGAGCUGUCCAAUUUGUCAGGGAGAGUGCAACAAUAUAAAAAUCUGUCCACACUUUUUAAAAAUGGCCAUCGAUGACCGAUGGAAUAAAAUUAAACAAAUUAAAACUUGUUUUUGUUGCUUAAAGAGAGGCCACCAACUUAAAAAUUGCCACAAUAAGCGUCGUUGUGGCAUAAAUGAUUGCCAAAAAUUACACCACCAAUUGUUGCACAAAACACUCGCGACGCCAUCCCAGGAACCGAACCGAACAUUAUCCACACACGAUUUGGAGCCACGAACGAACACCCCAUCUCUUCCCGACGCACCGCCGUCUCAAACACAACGAAGAAAUUGUCAUGCCGCCCACUACACCGAAAACGUACUGUUCCAGAUUUUGCCCGUGACGCUAUACGGAACACACAAACAAAUAACGACGUACGCGUUCAUUGACGACGGCGCCAAUGUGUCCAUGCUGGACGAGGACGUUGCUCGCGAACUCGGAGUACACGGGAAACCGGAGAUUUUAGAAAUUCAGUGGCUUAAUUACCAAAACAUAAACGAAAAAACAGAAAAAAUUAAUUUGACAAUUAGUGGUGUCGGUGAGUACAACAAGUACCCGAUAACCAAUGUUUACAUUUCGUCCAAUCUGUCAUUGCCAAUACAGAGUUGCCAUCUGGCUCAUUUAAUUAAAUCCCGUGAAAUCGACCAAAUCGCCGAAAUCCCAUUCCGGGAUUAUUCGAAUGUUCAACCUAAACUAAUAUUAAGCUUGCAACAUUCAUUUUUAACAGUUCCCUUGGAAGCUCCUCGUAUGAUGACCGAUGUUGGACCAAUCAUUACCCUAACGAGAUUAGGCGCCGUAAUUUAUGGACCGAUCCCAGGCGAGAAGAGUUCCAAUCUUAAGCGGGCUUUACACGUUAGAAACGUUUCGAGGAAGAAAAUUGUGACUUGCUUCAGAAAAUGCAUACCAUGAUGCGGCAAUAUUUCGACGUGGAGACAUUGGGUACCAAAGUAAAUGUGACACCAAUUCUGUCCAUAGAUGAUGAACGAGCGUUAAACAUAUUGAGAGAAAACACGAAAAGAAUUGAUGGGCGAUAUCAGUGUCCGCUUUUGUGGAAAGAACAUUUUUCUCCAAUUCCAGAAUCGUACAAUUUGUCGUACAACCGAUUGCAGUGUGUGGAACGAAAAAUGGCAAAGGACAGUGUAUAUGCAGCUCAAUAUUGCAAAAAGAUAAGAGACUACGAGGAAAAAGGAUAUUGCCGUAAACUUUCAGUAGCAGAACGAGAAAGAAGGAGCGACCGAACGUUUUAUUUGCCACAUUUAGGCGUUAAAAAUCCCAACAAAGAUGGAAUUCGUAUCGUCUUCGAUGCUGCUGCUGAAGUUCAACAAUUUUCAUUAAAUAAAGCCUUAUUACCUGGACCUGACAUAAAUAACUCUUUAAUCUCUAUUCUUUUUAAAUUCAGGGAAUUUCCUGUAGCCGUGUGCGAAGAUAUACAAGAGAUGUUCCACCAAAUUGUAAUCGCCAAAGAAGAUCAGGACAGUCAGCGAUUUCUAUGGAGAAAUGGGGAUCCCAGUCAACCCUUAGAAACUUAUGUAAUGGAACGGAUGAUUUUUGGAGCCACUUGUUCGCCCACCAUAGCCCAAUAUGUGAAAAACCUAAAUGCCCGAAGGUUUAUAAAUGAGUCGCCAAGAGCAGUACAAGGAAUCAUCGAUCGUCAUUACGUAGACGAUUACGUCGACUGUUUCCAGACUGAAGGUGAGGCAGUUGAAGUGGUACGUGAUGGUGGGUGGAUUUAAUCUCCGCAACAUCAAGUCUAAUUCCCUUGUUUUACAACCCUAUUUAUGUUUGGCAACCCUAUUUCUGAUGAAAGUGAUGGCAACUCCAUUUUUGAUGAUGGAAUGGAACGGGUACUCGGUAUUCAUUGGCUGCCAAAAUCAGAUGUUUUUUGUUUUGAAUUAAAAUUGCACAAAGUGGAUGAAAAAAUAUUGAAAUUGCAAAAAGUGCCAACGAAACGCGAAAUGUUGUCUUUAAAUAUGUCCGUAUUCGAUCCAUUCGGGUUUCUUGGUGAUUUUAUGGUGACGUCGAAGAUAAUUAUGCAAAAUGUGUGGAAAAGUGGUAUAAAGUGGAACGAGGAGUUGCCGGCCGCGAUUUAUAGCCGCUGGAAGACCUGGCUGGAGGAAUUGCCUAAUUUAAAGGAUUUCAAAGUUCCGCGGUGUUACAGUGAUGGAUUUUUUAAUUGUAUAGUAGAUUUGCAUGUGUUUGUGGAUGCCAGUGAAGAUGCAAUGGCUGCUGUGGCAUACUGGCGUAUAGUAACAAAUUGUGGUGUAAGUGUUGUGUUCGUUAUGGGCAAGACGAGCUGUGCCCCAACAAGAUACCAUACUAUACCUAAGCUUGAGUUGCAAGCAGCAGUAAUUGGAGUGCGAAUGAAGGAAAAAAUUUUGGAAAAUCAUUUGAAGAAUAUUAAUAACAUUUAUUUUUGGUCACUGUUGAGGAAACAGUGAUAAGUUGGAUCCGUUCAGAACACCGUACAUACAAACAAUAUGUGGCAAAUAGAGUGUCGGAGAUUCUGGAAAGCAGCCGUAUGGAGCAGUGGCGGUGGUGUCCAGGAGCGGAAAACCCAGCUGACGAAGGGACCCGUGCUAAAGGACCCAAGAAGUACCAGCCAGAAGGACGUUGGGUUUCUUGGUGAUUUUAUGGUGACGUCGAAGAUAAUUAUGCAAAAUGUGUGGAAAAGUGGUAUAAAGUGGGACGAGGAGUUGCCGGCCGCGAUUUAUAGCCGCUGGAAGACCUGGCUGGAGGAAUUGCCUAAAUUAAAGGAUUUCAAAGUUCCGAGGUGUUACAGUGAUGGAUUUUUUAAUGGUAUAGUAGAUUUGCAUGUGUUUGUGGAUGCCAGUGAAGAUGCAAUGGCUGCUGUGGCAUACUGGCGUAUAGUAACAAAUUGUGGUGUAAGUGUUGUGUUCGUUAUGGGCAAGACGAGCUGUGCCCCAACAAGAUACCAUACUAUACCUAAGCUUGAGUUGCAAGCAGCAGUAAUUGGAGUGCGAAUGAAGGAAAACAUUUUGGAAAAUCAUUUGAAGAAUAUUAAUAACAUUUAUUUUUGGUCAGAUUCCUCAACAGUGAUAAGUUGGAUCCGUUCAGAACACCGUACAUACAAACAAUAUGUGGCAAAUAGAGUGUCGGAGAUUCUGGAAAGCAGCCGUAUGGAGCAGUGGCGGUGGUGUCCAGGAGCGGAAAACCCAGCUGACGAAGGGACCCGUGCUAAAGGACCCAAGAAGUACCAGCCAGAAGGACGUUGAAAAAAUGGGCCAGAAUUCCUGAGAAAAGAAGAGAAGUAUUGGCCGGACGAGGGACAAAUUGGAACCUGUGUGGAUCACAGCAAAACAGAGCUAAGAAACAAAUACAAAGUUUUGGUGGCUUGCCAGGUAUGUUUUUGUAUUCCAGAUAUUAAUAGAUUUUCAAAAUAUCGUAGGCUGAAACGGGCAAUGGCGUGGAUAUUCCGAUUCGUUGAAAAUAUGAAGAGGAAAUCAGUGGUGUCGGGUGAUUUGACGGUGGAAGAAGAAGCACGGGCGGAAAUGUAUCUCUGUCGCUGCGUACAGCAAGAAGUAUAUGGGGAUGAAAUUCUUGACAUACAGAGAACUGGAUCAGUGUCUGCCAACAGCUCCAUAAAGUCUUUAAAUCCACAAAUUGGAAGUGAUGGUUUGCUUCGGGUAUCUGGAAGAAUAGAAAAUGCUUUUUUGUCCCUGGAUACCAGACGACCAAUAAUUCUACACAAAGGUCAUCGUUUUACACUUUUGCUGGUGGAAUUUUACCAUUCUCGUUUUUGUCACAUAAAUGUUGCCACUACAAUGAGCGAAAUUCGUCUGCGAUUUUGGAUUCCGUCACUUCGUCAACUUCCAAGAAGCGUUCAGUUCCGAUGUCUUGUCUGCAAGAUUCGUAGGGCCAAACCAAUUCAACCACAAAUGGCCCCGUUACCCUUGGAACGUGUCACACCUUAUGUCAGAGCCUUUACCUACACAGGACUUGACUAUUUUGGUCCUGUAACAGUGUCAAUCCGGAGACAACGAGAAAAAAGGUGGGUGGCACUGUUUACAUGCCUUACAGUUCGCGCUGUCCACUUGGAAAUUGCAACAGACCUGUCGAGUGAUUCCUGCCUAAUGUGUAUUCGGAACUUCAUCAAUCGAAGAGGCGUCCCAGAGAUGAGAAGAAGCGACAAUGGGACGAAUUUCGUUGGCAUAGCAAAGGAGCUGCAAGGUAUAACCAAUUUUUUAGACACUAAUUCCGUUUCUUCUGGUCUGACAGCUCUUGGAAUAAAAUGGGUCUACAAUACGCCAGUGAAUCCCAGCGAAGGCGGAGUAUGGGAGCGUCUUGUCCAAUCUGUUAAAAAGGCUCUUUACAUCAUGCUAAAGGAGCAAGCCCCAAAACUGGAGACUCUACAAGCGUUCCUGAUUGAAGCGGAGAAUAUGGUCAACAGCAGGCCACUUACAUAUUUGCCAGUUACUCCAGAAGACCCAGAUCCAUUGACUCCAAACCACUUUCUGCUUGGAUGUACCAAUUCAACCCAGACUCCAGCACCGUUUGAGCCUAGACUGAUGUGUUUAAGGAAGCAGUGGCGCGUCACCCAAAAUUUGAAGAAUGGCAUGUGGCAUCAGUGGCUUCGGGAAUAUCUUCCAGAAUUAACUCGAAGAACAGAAUGGUGUCUUCCUUCUCGGUCGUUGGAUGUUGGUUGCCUUGUGUUUGUUUGUGAUCCAGAGAUGGCUUGGAGUCAAUGGAGACGUGAACGAGUCAUCGAAGUAUUCAGGGGCAAAGACGGAGUGGCACGAUCAGCCAAGGUGAGAACGAGUGCCGGUGUAUACCACAGACCUGUGUCCAAACUUGCCAUUUUGGACGUGGAAGCGUCUGGAGACGGAGUUGGUGAAGCCUCCCCCUCUGGGUCAGUUCACGGGGGUGGGGACGUUGGAGAUGGUAACCCUGCAAUUACCAAAGCUAAAAAAGUGUAGCCAAAUUUGAAAUACCACUGUCAUAAAUGGCCGAAAUAUCCCAAGCGAAGAGGGAGACGAAACUAACAGCCAGUUCCACGAUAUCGAAAGAACACGUUCGCACAACUUUUACACGACAAACAGCUGAUUUCCGUUCCACUAAAAUCUAUCAGAACGAAAAUUUGCACGAAAAUCAAAGCGAACGAAAACGUAAGCAUUUCAGUGUAAUUUUGCGUUCCACUAUCUUUUUUCUUUCGUACGCAUGCGAACACAAAUGUCAAAAUCAGUCACUUGUGUGUUUGCUAUCGUAUAAUAACAAUUAAGGAAAAUUGUUUUAACAUAAACAUUGCUUGAUUGAAAAUGGAAACAAAAAUCACGAAAAAAUCAUCAACUACACAGCUGCGGGCACUAGUUGAGUAAAUGGAGGAGAAUCCUGUGUUCGCCAGAGGAAUGCCAAUUUUUGGAAGCAGCAGAAGAAGUUUUAAAUCGGGGCGGAUUUGGGUAGUUCUGCAACCAUCAUAUCCAAAAGAGCCCGAAAACUUCCUUCGACACACGAAAGUUGGCCACAAACCUAGAAAAAAUCAUUUUUUAUUAUUUCAAAAAUGUAAAAAUACAAUCAUACUUACUGGUUGUUAGGUACUUCAAAUAAAUUCGAAGCAUCUCUUAAAUGCCUCCGUGGCACAUUUCGAACCUCCUCCAUAAAAAAUAGGGCUACGGAAA
Musca domestica (house fly) is the source of this 7618-nucleotide RNA transcript. RefSeq lists it as uncharacterized. Lineage: Eukaryota; Metazoa; Arthropoda; Insecta; Diptera; Muscidae. The record is from RefSeq and is a predicted model, not a curated record. The transcript is spliced from 3 exons.